RNAcentral lists this ribosomal RNA (485 nucleotides) under uncultured Bacillota bacterium. Its description in RNAcentral is "bacterial SSU rRNA". It matches the Rfam family "Bacterial small subunit ribosomal RNA", at positions 355 to 833 of the family's 1533-position model. The record is from RNAcentral. Lineage: Bacteria; Bacillati; Bacillota.
UAGGGAAUCUUCGGCAAUGGGCGAAAGCCUGACCGAGCAACGCCGCGUGAGCGAUGAAGGCCUUCGGGUCGUAAAGCUCUGUUGUUAGAGAAGAACAAGUACGAGAGUAACUGCUCGUACCUUGACGGUACCUAACCAGAAAGCCACGGCUAACUACGUGCCAGCAGCCGCGGUAAUACGUAGGUGGCAAGCGUUAUCCGGAAUUAUUGGGCGUAAAGCGCGCGCAGGCGGUCUCUUAAGUCUGAUGUGAAAGCCCACGGCUCAACCGUGGAGGGUCAUUGGAAACUGGGAGACUUGAGUGCAGGAGAGAAAAGUGGAAUUCCACGUGUAGCGGUGAAAUGCGUAGAGAUGUGGAGGAACACCAGUGGCGAAGGCGGCUUUUGGCCUGUAACUGACGCUGAGGCGCGAAAGCGUGGGGAGCAAACAGGAUUAGAUACCCUGGUAGUCCACGCCGUAAACGAUGAGUGCUAGGUGUUGGGGGUUCC